UACGUAGGGGGCAAGCGUUGUCCGGAUUUAUUGGGCGUAAAGAGCGUGUAGGCGGCCAUACAGGUCCGUUGUGAAAACUCGAGGCUCAACCUCGAGACGUCGAUGGAAACCGUAUGGCUAGAGUCCGGAAGAGGAGAGUGGAAUUCCUGGUGUAGCGGUGAAAUGCGCAGAUAUCAGGAAGAACACCCGUGGCGAAGGCGGUUCUCUGGGCCUUACCUGACGCUGAGGAGCGAAAGCGUGGGGAGCGAACAGG
This 253-nucleotide ribosomal RNA is filed under the name uncultured bacterium. Its description in RNAcentral is "partial 16S ribosomal RNA". It matches the Rfam family "Bacterial small subunit ribosomal RNA", at positions 524 to 776 of the family's 1533-position model. The record is from RNAcentral.